GAUGAAGAACGCAGUGAAAUGCGAUAAGUAAUGUGAAUUGCAGAAUUCCGUGAAUCAUCGAGUCUUUGAACGCACAUUGCGCCUCAUGGCAUUCCGUGAGGCAUGCCCAUCUCAGCGUUAGAAAAUAUUCUCAAAUUUUAGUUUUGUGCUAAAAUUUGGAUCAUGUCAAGGAAGCUAUUACUAUUAUUGUGAUCGCUCUUUGGAAAUUGAUAGGUCUUUGAGUUGCUACUCAUAGAACGUGAUGAAUCUUUCUUCGUUCUAUUGUAAUUCACUCUGGUAGUCCUAAAACUUGUAUGCCUGUGGCAUAUCUUGUAAUUUGACCUGAGAUUGGGUAGGGAUACCCGCUGAACUUAAGCAUAUCAAUAAGCGGAGGA
Molecule: unclassified non-coding RNA, 374 nt
Filed under: soil metagenome
Description: partial contains internal transcribed spacer 2 and large subunit ribosomal RNA
Rfam family: 5.8S ribosomal RNA (bases 1-120)
Source: RNAcentral